GUGAGCAGUUUGGCCCUCAAAUAUUUACACUAAUCAUUGUAAAACAUAUUCCUCAAGUGCCCCGUAAACCGAAACGGAAGGAAGGAAGGCCAAAACAAUGGAAGAGGUCUCAGGAUCCCCGGGAUCCCAGGUCCAGUUUCGGAGUUUCGUUUUCAGGAGAACAAGGGAAACCUGGCACGGGCCACGUGCCUCACUGCACGUGUCCCUUUUAAUGACCAGCGAAUUGUGAAAGGAAAGUACAUACAUAUAGAGCCUCGUCGAUGUCUACGACGGGGAGCCUUGAAAAAAUCAAAAGGGUAUUGGUGCCCUUUAUUCAGACUCACAGACAUAUUUGUGCUAUAUUGAAAUCCAAUUCAAUGAAAUUGUUGCCACGCUCGAGUUCCAUUAGACAAAAACCAAUCACAACAGCGUGAAAAGGUGGGAAACCGUUGCCUCUGAACCACCCACUCAAUUGUUGGUCAGUUGAAAAUAUUUCGACAAUUUGCAUGACCCCACCUCCAUAUCCCCUCACCGCGUGCGGCGCACAAAGGAAUAUGUCAGGCAUCAAUUGAACUCUUUUCUCUGCCGUCAAUGGACGUAUUUGCCCGGACAUGGCCGAGUCCACCCGUCGAAGGACCCUUUUUAAUUGAGGAACUUGGCUGCGGCGUGUGGCCAGCAACCAGAAACAAACAACAACAAACGGAUGACAGGCAACGCCUGACAAUUGUCCUUUGGGCAGCGAUGCCAGGACAUGAGGACAUGAGGAUCCGAGGCUGCUGAUCUGAUCUAAUGCUGCAGGCUUGAUUUACUGGCAGCGGCUGCAAAUCAUCGCCCAAGUCUGAGCCCGAAAAGGGAUAAAGACAAUGGUCAUAUGGGGAAAAUAUGAAUAUACUCACUGGAACCCACACCCACAGAACAUAUAACUCCGAGGGGGUGACAUGUUCAUGUAGGCAUGUGCGAUAAAUUAUCAUGUGCGUUGAGUCAGAAUUUUUCCCACCUCCAAACGACGACGAGAAGGUGUCUGUAAUUGGUAGUCAAAUAUGUUGAUAUAUUGGAUGGAUUUGCUGGCAGACAAUUUUAUGAUCGCUGAAUUUAUUUGAUUCGUGAACUGCACGCCCCCAAAUUGAAGCCUUCAUAAAUUCCAAUUGCUCUGCAUCAAGCAAAUCCUUCAAAGAAAAUUUAUAUGUGCUGUUAAAAAACGUUUUGUGCGAAAACUCUCCGGUUUACAAAAUUAAACGAGUCGAGCCACAUUUUUCAGAACUAAUAAAUACGAGUAUAAGCCAGUAAAAAGAAGGGAGGGCAGGAAAACCGGCAACAUUUUUAAACAACCCCAUAGACGUAAAUAAAUAAAAAUACAAUUUAAAGAAUAUUGCAAAUAAAGUUGCACAUA
Molecule: long non-coding RNA, 1369 nt
Organism: Drosophila sechellia
Lineage: Eukaryota; Metazoa; Arthropoda; Insecta; Diptera; Drosophilidae
Exons: 3
Source: RefSeq, a predicted model, not a curated record